This 67-nucleotide transfer RNA is filed under the name Marmota monax (woodchuck). RNAcentral describes it as "tRNA.Ala". Lineage: Eukaryota; Metazoa; Chordata; Mammalia; Rodentia; Sciuridae. The record is from RNAcentral.
GGAUGUAGCUUAGUGGUAAAGCACUUGCCUAGCAUGUUUGAGAUCCUGGGUUCCAUACACAGCACCA